Heterocephalus glaber (naked mole-rat) is the source of this 1266-nucleotide long non-coding RNA. The record is from Ensembl. NCBI's taxonomy places the organism in Eukaryota, Metazoa, Chordata, Mammalia, Rodentia, Bathyergidae.
AAAGGGCAGGCCCCUGCAAAACACUCAGUGGUGUAUUACCUUCCAGUCACAGGCAUGUUGGGGGGAUGGGGACUCUGCAGAACGGAUCUGAGAUCUGAAGAUAAUUGGUCCACUGAGUGCAGAAGCACGACUGCUUGAUAUGAUUUCUGUGUGACUGCGUCUUCCUAAUGCUGGUCUGGGGGAUCAAGAAGACCCUUAGGGGAUCGAACUCGGGACCUUGCGCUUGCGACGCCGGUGCCGGAACCACUGAGCUAAAUGCCCGGGCCAUCACAUUCUAUCUGUACCAAGCAUUUGCUUGAACAUCAGCCUAUGUUCGUAGAAUUUCCGAUAUAUGCAUCCCACUUCUCAAAGCAGAAGCUAGAAGCUGCUCUCCUAGGAUCCUUUGUGGUCAGGCAUAGGCUUUUCCCUGGGCUUUUCCAAUCAGUUGACCCGCACCAAACUUUAAUUGGGAAGUGGAAAAUCAGAAGAAGAAUAUGGAGUGUGGACCAUCCUCGUCAUUGUUGCUCAGUAGUCCCAUAGGGAGCCUCUGUCUGUGCAGUGGUGGCAUCACUGAAGGUAUCCAAGGGCACCUUAGCAGGAGCAUGGUAGGAUCCUAGCUCUUUGCUGCAUAGACUCUGGUUUUUAUCUCUCUGUUUUUCCGAUAUAUGAACUUCCAAACAUCAUUAAAUAGAUUCUGACUAAACUAUCCAGAAUAGAUACUGUUUUUAAUAAUGGUUGAAACUAAACAUUCAUCAUUCUUUCCAUGGGAUAAUUAUAGUACUAAUCUUGCAGCUCGAAAACCAUUUUUUCCAUUAACUGUCACGUUUUGAGAUACUAGAAGAUUCUCAGGCAGAUGUAAGGAAUGAUAUCGAGAAACCACAUACCCUUUACUCAAUUUCUGCCAAUGAUAACAUUUUGCAAAACUAUAGUACAAGUGUACAACUAGAAUAUUGACAUUGAUAAAAGAGAGCAGAGGUAGAGAGCAGCUCCAUUACUAGAAGGAUCUUGCAAGUUGCCUUUUUGUAGACAAAAUUACUUUCAGCCAAUCCCACCCACUCCUUAACCCUGGGCAGUCACUAAGAUCUGUUCUGCAUUUCUAUAAUUUGGGUAUAUAAAGGAUGAUACAUAGAUUGAAUUAUGUAGUGUGUCACCUUUUGAGAUUGCCUUUCCUUUUUUUCACUCAGCAUAAUUCUCUGGAGGUUCAUCUGAGUUGUUGUGUGCAUUGAUAAUUCAUUUCUUUUCAUUGCUGAGUGCUGCUCCAUAGUGUGGAUUUCCAGUUUGUGGUAG